Molecule: long non-coding RNA, 641 nt
Organism: Bradysia coprophila
Lineage: Eukaryota; Metazoa; Arthropoda; Insecta; Diptera; Sciaridae
Source: RefSeq, a predicted model, not a curated record
UUAAGAGGCUAUAUGCUAUUAGAAGUCUAAGGUCAGUUAUCAACAAUUUAGUGAGGUAAAGAAGCUUUGUGUCAACAUUAAGGUUUCAUUUAUAAAAAAUUAAACGAAUCGACAGUUAGCUGAAAAGGCUAGUCAGUUACUUCCUUUUUCACGCACAAGCUAUUGAUCCUGAAAUUGUAUUCCAGUUGCGAAAAUGCAUCUGAAUCUUGAGCUUGAUUCGCUUCCAUACACAAUACAUCGUUUCAAUCCGUCAACAUUACCCUCCACAUAUCUUCGUCUCGUCGAAGGCCAAUUAUGGUUCAGUAUAACCAAAACUACACAAGAAUUAUCGAUUGUCAUUUCUCAUGACUAUUCGGAUGAAAGUUCAAUGCUACUUGCUAACGAUCAUCGAGUGAACCGAGGUUGGCGAUGCUUUAGGGUUGUUGGUCCUCUAGAUUUUGGGUUGAUUGGAAUUUUGGCUAAUCUGGCUGAUGCGCUUGCAGUUCAGUCAAUUUCAGUAUUUGUUGUAUCCACAUUUGAUACUGAUUACAUACUCGUUAAGAAGGACAAAGUGUUGGACGCGAAAAAAGCUUUUGAAGAUAUUGGACACUUUGUUAAAGAGGUUGAACGUUUUGCUGAAUAAACGAACUCUAUUGGACUUG